Molecule: transfer RNA, 71 nt
Filed under: Camelus bactrianus (Bactrian camel)
Lineage: Eukaryota; Metazoa; Chordata; Mammalia; Artiodactyla; Camelidae
Also listed under: 2 other names
Rfam family: tRNA
About the family: Transfer RNA (tRNA) molecules are approximately 80 nucleotides in length.
Source: Rfam by way of RNAcentral
GAGGGCGUAGCUCAGCGGUAGAGCGUGUGCUUAGCAUGCACGAGGUCCUGGGUUCAAUCCCCAGUCCCUCA